Molecule: long non-coding RNA, 1328 nt
Filed under: Homo sapiens (human)
Lineage: Eukaryota; Metazoa; Chordata; Mammalia; Primates; Hominidae
Description: non-protein coding DLX6-AS1:35
Source: RNAcentral
GGCUUCCGAAUCUUUUUCCCUUUUCCAUUGAACCUGAUUUCCCCGUUUUCAAUCACUGUAGUUUUUUGUUGAUCUGUAAGCAAAUAAUACAGAGGAGCGGUCACCCGGGAGGCUACUGCUGCCAUCUCCCUGCUCCUGGCGUGGCAUGCAACGAGUCUCCCCAAAGCCCAAUAAGGGUUACCUCGAAAAAUCCCUAUGAUGCCCCGACCUCUCUUGGUCCACUCUGCCCGUGUGCUCCCAGCGUCUGCGUAAUCUCCUUGACCCAGUCCCUGGCCCGAACAAUGUGCAGCGUCUGGGCCAAGGGAGCGCCAGAGGCCCUCAGACAAACAGCCCGCUUUGCCGCAGCGGAGGCGGUGCCGGAGGCUCUCUGGGGUGCGCAGCGCAGCAAGGCGGCAGCUGUCCGGGCGGAGCGGGGCCCCUGUGCCCGGCUUAACAGUACCUGAAGCUGUGCUUGAGCCACCCAGGUGUUUACGCGGCCAGUUGACUUGAUGUCACCAGCUCCAAGCUCAGUGCAUCAAGCAUCCUCGGCAUGUUUUGAAAUGACUCUCCUGAGGAGGACCAAAUCCUCAAACAAAACACAACCAACAGCUCAGACCAGCCCACGAGCAGGCUGCGCCUCUCACGGCAACUUUGUCCCCCUCGGGUGCUGAGAACCAUCAGCCCGAGGUUCUUUGCUUCCCCUCCACGAACAAAGGAGCAGCCAACACUGUAGCGAAAAGCUAGAUAGGGGGCCCGGUCAGGGAUGAAGGUGAGGGACACUUUAAAGCCCACUGGAAAGAGCCUGACUGUUACUAGUUUAACCAGAGCGAAAGCCAGGCCAGCUUCCCUCCGAGUCACUGAGGAGCACGGGGCGCCCCACGCAAAGUAGGCCACUGCCUGCCCAGCGUGGGCUGGGAAGCAAAACACGCUCCCCAGUUCCGGCCCAGAAAUGUCCCCAGCCGGGUCAAACGUGGGUUACAGCCUGGAGGGAAGGAGCAAGGAAAAGGGCGCACAGACCCAGGAGGCUGGAGAGCGCAGUGUGGACUAACUCGUCGAACGAAGCCUGCGCCGGGCCCGGGACUCAGCCCGAACUGCGCGUCGGAAGCUGAGGGUCCGCGGCGGCGGGAAGGGGCCCGGCUGGGAGAGGCCGGCAGGCAGGCGCCAGGCGAGCGGGCGCGCACGGGGCCCGGCCAAGGGCGCGCGGGGCCGCCUGGGGGAGGGGGCCGGCGGAGGCCCGGGCGUCGAGGAAGUGAGCGGGCGGGCGGGGUAGGGGGCAGUCGGGAGGCGGGAGAAGCGAGCUGCCCCAGCGGCCUCUCACCUGUGUCGUCCCCUCGCGUCUGGGCGGCUGC